AGCUCACGCACUUGCGCCGUCUCCUCCUUCCCAAAACACGUCUCUCCCACACCGACGCUUCACAGUGUCCGCUUAUCGCGCACGCUUGACUGUCCCUCGCACCGCCGCCCCCUUCGCCCUUUUCUCUUCGCUUUUUUUUCCAUUCCGAUACAAUGAUGCGCAAGACGUCCGCGUGCGCCAUCGCGGCCACUCGCAGGGCGCUCGUAGGCAACGGCCCAACUUUCCACACGGGUGGUGACAACAACAACAUGUCCGACAUCCAGAACGCCUUCCCGAUGAACGAGCGCGGCAUCCGCUCCUCCUCGCCGUUCCCGGAGCCGAACACGGCCAUCUACGAUUCGUACAUGCCCUGGACAUACUUCCAGCCGAUCGACGUGAAGGUGGACAAGAUGCCAGCACCGGAGGCGAAGUACUACCAGCAUCACACAAAGAAGCCGUGGGAUGUGUCGACGACCGACCUUAUCGAGAUCCAGUCGCGCAAGAAGUACGUGCAGGGCGUGGGGUACUUCGUCAUGUUGAUCUACCUGUACUUCCUGAUGCCGAAGGAAAAGUCUUACUCGGGCGAGACCGGCUCCGACGGCUUCUUCGUGAUGCUGCCCAAGAACCAGCCCGAGAAGUUCUAAAGUGCGAGCGGCCCAGCUAAUCACAGACGCAGAUUCGUUCAGAAGAAUGGAGAGAGGGCGAGAUGGAGUGAGAGACAAGGAGGGACGCAUGCCCCCCAGGCCGGCGCUGACAUGAUUUCCAGCGCCCCAGGUACCAUCCGCCAUCGCGCGCGCACUUGUUGCCCCUCUCGUAGCUCUGCCCCUUCUCUCCGACCUCCCCCUCUUCCCUCUCCAGCCUGUAAGCACUUGUCUGGCGCUGUGUCUCUGUGCGCCCCUCACUCGGGGUGCUUGAGGAACGCGUACGGCGGCGAGGAGGACAGAGGCCAGCCGGUGCAGUAACGGUGGGAAGUCGAACACGGCGAGAGUGCGCCAAAACAAGAAGGCGUCCCGUUACAAGGCUGCAUGACCAAGAGAGCGGCGCGUGUGCGUCGCCGGCACCCCCUCCCCUGACCUCGUUGUAGUAGUAGUAGGACGUACACG
RNAcentral lists this unclassified non-coding RNA (1082 nucleotides) under Leishmania donovani. Its description in RNAcentral is "gene:LdHU3.25.2640(CDS-product:hypothetical_prote in_conserved)". The record is from RNAcentral. Lineage: Eukaryota; Euglenozoa; Kinetoplastea; Trypanosomatida; Trypanosomatidae.